GUACUGACGAAGAGUCCCAAACUAGGACGAAACAGUUGUCCAGUAC
Trichobilharzia regenti is the source of this 46-nucleotide non-coding RNA. The record is from Rfam. NCBI's taxonomy places the organism in Eukaryota, Metazoa, Platyhelminthes, Trematoda, Strigeidida, Schistosomatidae.